AUCGCUUCUCAGCCUUUUGGCUAAGAUCAAGUGUAGUAUCUGUCCUUAUCAGUUUAACAUCUGAUACGUCCUCUAUCCGAGAACAUUAUAUUAAAUGUAUUUUUGGAGCAGGGAGAUGGAAUAAGAGCUUGCUCCGUCCACUCCACACAUCGACCCGGUAUUGCAGUACCUCUGGGAACAGUGCAUCAAAU
Molecule: small nuclear RNA, 191 nt
Filed under: Myotis brandtii (Brandt's bat)
Lineage: Eukaryota; Metazoa; Chordata; Mammalia; Chiroptera; Vespertilionidae
Description: U2 spliceosomal RNA
Rfam family: U2 spliceosomal RNA
About the family: U2 is a small nuclear RNA (snRNA) component of the spliceosome (involved in pre-mRNA splicing). Complementary binding between U2 snRNA (in an area lying towards the 5' end but 3' to hairpin I) and the branchpoint sequence (BPS) of the intron results the bulging out of an unpaired adenosine, on the BPS, which initiates a nucleophilic attack at the intronic 5' splice site, thus starting the first of two transesterification reactions that mediate splicing.
Source: Rfam by way of RNAcentral